CACGUAGGGGGCAAGCGUUGUCCGGAUUUACUGGGCGUAAAGAGCUCGUAGGCGGUUCGAUAAGUCGGGUGUGAAAACUCUGGGCUCAACCCAGAGACGCCACCCGAUACUGUCGUGACUAGAGUCCGGUAGAGGAGUGUGGAAUUCCCGGUGUAGCGGUGAAAUGCGCAGAUAUCGGGAGGAACACCAGUGGCGAAGGCGGCACUCUGGGCCGGAACUGACGCUGAGGAGCGAAAGCGUGGGUAGCAAACAGG
RNAcentral lists this ribosomal RNA (254 nucleotides) under uncultured bacterium. RNAcentral describes it as "partial 16S ribosomal RNA". It matches the Rfam family "Bacterial small subunit ribosomal RNA", at positions 524 to 776 of the family's 1533-position model. The record is from RNAcentral. RNAcentral also lists the same sequence under 1 other name.